Molecule: ribosomal RNA, 549 nt
Filed under: uncultured Glomus
Lineage: Eukaryota; Fungi; Glomeromycota; Glomeromycetes; Glomerales; Glomeraceae
Description: SSU rRNA
Rfam family: Eukaryotic small subunit ribosomal RNA
Source: RNAcentral
UUGGAGGGCAAGUCUGGUGCCAGCAGCCGCGGUAAUUCCAGCUCCAAUAGCGUAUAUUAAAGUUGUUGCAGUUAAAAAGCUCGUAGUUGAAUUUCGGGAUCAAUGGAUUGGUCAUGCCGUUGGUAUGUACUGAUUUUAUUGAUUCUCACCUUCUAAAGAAUCAUAAUGCCAUUAAUUUGGUGUUGUGAGGAAUUAGGACUGUUACCUUGAAAAAAUUAGAGUGUUUAAAGCAGGCUUACGCUUGAAUACAUUAGCAUGGAAUAACGAAAUAGGACAUCGCAUUCUAUUUUGUUGGUUUCUAGGAUCGAUGUAAUGAUUAAUAGGGAUAGUUGGGGGCAUUAGUAUUCAAUUGUCAGAGGUGAAAUUCUUGGAUUUAUUGAAGACUAACUACUGCGAAAGCAUUUGCCAAGGAUGUUUUCAUUAAUCAAGAACGAAGGUUAGGGGAUCGAAGACGAUCAGAUACCGUCGUAGUCUUAACCAUAAACUAUGCCGACUAGGGAUCGGAUGAUGUUAAUUUUUUAAUGACUCAUUCGGCACCUUACGGGAAAC